RNA transcript from Hylaeus volcanicus, 714 nucleotides. RefSeq lists it as uncharacterized. NCBI's taxonomy places the organism in Eukaryota, Metazoa, Arthropoda, Insecta, Hymenoptera, Colletidae. The record is from RefSeq and is a predicted model, not a curated record. The transcript has 3 exons.
UGAACAUCACUUUUACCAUAAUGAAUGUCGUUAGGGUCAAACUUUGGAGCCAUAUUGAGGUUUGAAUUAGUAAACGAAACGCACGGGUGUUGGCAAGAAGAAUAGUAACAGUAGGUGUUAUAUUAGUACAAACGUUUUGAGAAGAUUUCUAUUAUUUUGCUGCCUCUCAAAAGCUGUGGAAGUCUUCUUUUCAACCUUCAGAUAUUGUUGGAUAUAAAAUCAACAUACUAAAGGAUAACAGAAGAUCCACUUUUAUAUAGAUUGCAAUGGCUCCUAAAGAAAAAAAAACGAAGGCUCAAAUUGCUGUAGCCGCAGCUUCUGGUUGCCGUACAAAAAAAAAGAAGUGGUCUAAGGGAAAGCAACAAGAUAAAUUGAAUAACAGUGUUAUUUUCGAUAAAAGCACCAGUGAAAAAUUACUUAAAGAGUUGCCUAAGAUGAAGUUUUUUACUCCCGCGGUCGUUUCCGAACGAUUUCGUAUCACCGUAUCUCUUGCACGUCUUGCUAUAAAGGAACUUGAGAACAAUAAAGUGGUUCGCCGUGUCGGAACGUUUCAUCAUGCACAAUAUUUGUAUGUUCGUUGUGAAAACGAGAAGGAAGAGUAAAUUUUUUGUUUUGGAGUGUUCAUAUUUUUUCCUUAUGUAAAUGUUGAAUUCCAGUUAUUGUUAAAGUACAAAAAACACAUAUAGAAUAAUGCACGUAAGAAUUAUGAUUUCU